AACGAACGCUGGCGGCGUGGAUAAGACAUGCAAGUCGAACGGGAUUUGUUUUGUAGCAAUACAAGGCAAGUCCAGUGGCGUAAGGGUGCGUAACACGUGGGGGAAUCUGCCGAGAAGUGGGGGAUAGCUCGUCGAAAGGCGAAUUAAUACCGCAUGUGGUUAGUGAAGACAUCUUCACGAUACCAAAGCCGGGGCAACCUGGCGCUUCUUGAUGACCCCGCGGCCUAUCAGCAGUUGGUGAGGUAACGGCUCACCAAGGCUAUGACGGGUAGCUGGUCUGAGAGGACGACCAGCCACACUGGAACUGAGACACGGUCCAGACACCUACGGGUGGCAGCAGUGGGGAAUCUUGCGCAAUGGGCGAAAGCCUGACGCAGCGACGCCGCGUGAGGGAUGACGGCCU
Molecule: ribosomal RNA, 403 nt
Filed under: uncultured bacterium
Lineage: Bacteria
Description: bacterial SSU rRNA
Rfam family: Bacterial small subunit ribosomal RNA
Source: RNAcentral